UACGAAGGGGGCUAGCGUUGUUCGGAAUUACUGGGCGUAAAGGGCGCGCAGGCGGUCGCUCAAGUCAGGCGUGAAAGCCCCGGGCUUAACCUGGGAAUUGCGCUUGAGACUGGGUGACUAGAGUUCGGGAGAGGUGAGUGGAAUUCCCAGUGUAGAGGUGAAAUUCGUAGAUAUUGGGAAGAACACCGGUGGCGAAGGCGGCUCACUGGACCGAUACUGACGCUGAGGCGCGAAAGCGUGGGGAG
RNAcentral lists this ribosomal RNA (245 nucleotides) under uncultured bacterium. Its description in RNAcentral is "partial 16S ribosomal RNA". It matches the Rfam family "Bacterial small subunit ribosomal RNA", at positions 524 to 768 of the family's 1533-position model. The record is from RNAcentral.